CUUAGUUUGAUCGAGUCUAGAUAAAUGAUCGACUAGAAGGUUCUCGAUCCCUUCUUGUCACAAAUCUCCAAGUCAAAUUCUUAUAGAAGAAAAACCCAUCUAAUCAACCUCAACUUAGCUCUUUCUUUCCAAGUAAAUAGGGUCGAAUGGUCAAUAUAAACAAUUACAUUAGAGCCAAUGAGAUAAGAUGAAAACUUAUCAAAAGGACACACUAUCGCUAGCAUCUCCUUCUCGAUAGUGGCAUAAUUCACUUGAGCUUUGGUCAAAGUCCAACUAGCAUAACCAACCUUAUUCUAAAUAACCUCACUUUAGAUGAAGGAAAAGUUGUGGAACAUGCAGAACAGGAUCAGGCUCACCAGCAGGCUUAGGCCUCUAUUCAGGCAAAAAUGGAUGAGAAAGUGCCUAAUGUGCGAGCUCUCGAAAAAAAGAACUCCCAACACUAGAAAGCAGCUUCCAACAUUAGGAAGCAACUCUUAAAGGCUGCAUACAAACUGUCUACCAUCAAGACUGAAAGUGAUGAGGAUUGAGAAUAAUCAAACAGAUGUUCAUGCAGCUCAGAUGAUUAUUCUUGUUUAUAUUGUCACGGCUAUAAACACUUUCUUGUUCCUAUUAACCAAACAUGUUGGACCUGUCUUAACUGCAAGUGCAUUCGCUAUUUAAUUCCAUCCUCAAUCCCACAAAAUUUGGAAGUCAAAGUGUUAGUUGGUCAUGGUUCAUUCCAAAAUAUGGAUUCGAUACAAUUGAGAAGAAACUAAAAAACUUGGAAAGCAUGCACUUCAAUCCCCCUGCCGGUGUAAAUUGAAAGGGGUUGAUCGAAGUGUGAGAUCAGUCCCAAACUAAGGUCAAGCAACUAACUGCUAGCAAAGUAAUCAAAUGUAGUUCAUUCAAGGCUUAAGAUAGAAUUAAUGGGAUGCGCAUCCUCUUUUCGACUCUGACUCUCCCACUCCAGUUAUUGAUUUUCUCUCUGUUACUUCGAAAGUAGCUGCUUCAACUUCAGCGUUCGAAUUUCAAUCUUGUCUCUCUUUUGUCUCAACAUCGCUCCAAUGACAUAAUUACUUACAUCACACAUAAGCUCGAAGGGUAAAUUCGAAUUUGGAGAUACAAUAGUGGGAGCCGUGAUGAGUUUCUCUUUAAAAGUGUUGAAAGCCUAAAGACACUCUUGAGAGAAAUCAAAUAGAAUAUUCUUUUCAAGUAAGAAGUAAAGUGGCUUGGUGAUUUUUGAAAUAUCCUUGAUGAACCCGCCUUUAAAACAUGGCAUGCCCCAUGAAACUCCUUAUGCCUUUCACAAAGAUUAGUGGAAGCAAUCUUUUAAUGACUUCAAUUUGGCUUUGUCGACCUCAAUCCUCUUUCGUAGAAUCCAAUGUCUAAGAACUAUGCCUUCUUGAACAAUGAAAUUGCAUUUUUUCCAAUUGAGCACCAAGUUGGUUUCUUCACACCUCUUCGACACCAGGCCCAAAUUUUUCAAGCAACCAUCAAAAGAAGUUCCAAAUAUUGAGAAGUCAUCCAUGAAUACCAUUAUAAAUUUCUCUACCAUGUUAAAUAAAAUAGCUAUCAUGCAUUGUUGAAAUUUGUGAGUACAUUGCAAAGACCGAAUGGCAUCUUUCUAUUUGUAAAAGUAUUAUAUGGACAAGUAAAAGUUACCCAUUAGGAAGCAAUAAUGAGAAUGGCCUGCCAAUCCCUCGAUUAUUUGAUCAAUGAAAAGAAAGAAAAGAAAAGCAAUCCUUCCUAUAGCAUUGUUGAGCUUCGCUUUCGAUAGUCAAUGCACACUCUCUAAUUGGACAUCGAUCUAAUAGUAUAAGUUCAUUAUUUUCAUUCAUUGCCAUCAUGACACCUUUUUUCUUCGGUACCAUUUGAACCGGACUAACCCAUGCAAUAUCAAAAUAGGAUAAACAAUGUCGGUAUUAAGCCAUUUCACCAUCUUGGCUCUCACAACUUCUUUCAUGUUUGGAUUCGACCAAUGGCUUGAAGUAUCCUCCGUGAGGAUUUGUACAUAUACAAAUAAGGUCUGAUCUUCUGAAUAUUCGAGAUAGUCCAUCCGAUGGCCGUUUUAAGCUCUCUCAAUACCUGAAGCAAUUUCUCCUCCUCCAACUAAAUCAAGUUAUUGAAAAUGAUAACCAGGAGUGUAGAAGUUUCUCCCAGCUAAGGAUACCUCAAAUGCGAGAAAAUUUUAGAUCAACAGUUGGUACUUGUUCAGAAGAGCACUCUUUAAGUCUUCAAAGUAUGGUAUCUUCUUGCAAAAAUAUGAUGGUGUAACACCAUUUUCUCAACAUUGGGAUCUUCUUCUCCGAUGAACGAAAAGUGCGCAAUACCAAACCCAAGUGGAUCCUUAGAAAACCCAUAUGUAUAAGAAUCAACCAACAUAUGAUCAAUUGUAUCUACUUGAAAGCAUGAAUCGAAUCCCAAAGGAUUCUUGAUAGCCUUCAACACAUUAAAUAUGACUUGCUCAUCUUGAACCCACAAAAUCAAAUGAUCUUCUUGCACAUCAAUUAAAGCUCGCCCUAUAGCUAGGAAGGCCCUCUCUAAAAUAAUUGAGAUGUCAUGAUCUUUUUCCAUAUCAAGGAUAAUAAAAUUGACGGAGA
This 2579-nucleotide long non-coding RNA is filed under the name Olea europaea subsp. europaea. Lineage: Eukaryota; Viridiplantae; Streptophyta; Magnoliopsida; Lamiales; Oleaceae. The record is from RNAcentral.